This 510-nucleotide ribosomal RNA is filed under the name uncultured bacterium. RNAcentral describes it as "partial 16S ribosomal RNA". It matches the Rfam family "Bacterial small subunit ribosomal RNA", at positions 28 to 507 of the family's 1533-position model. The record is from RNAcentral.
GACGAACGCUGGCGGCGUGCUUAACACAUGCAAGUCGAACGAAGAGCGAUGGAAGCUUGCUUCUAUCAAUCUUAGUGGCGAAUGGGUGAGUAACGCGUAAUCAACCCGCCCUUCAGAGGGGGACAACAGUUGGAAACGACUGCUAAUACCGCAUACGAUCUAAUCUCGGCAUCGAGGAUAGAUGAAAGGUGGCCUCUACAUGUAAGCUAUCACUGAAGGAGGGGAUUGCGUCUGAUUAGCUAGUUGGAGGGGUAACGGCCCACCAAGGCGAUGAUCAGUAGCCGGUCUGAGAGGAUGAACGGCCACAUUGGGACUGAGACACGGCCCAGACUCCUACGGGAGGCAGCAGUGGGGAAUCUUCCGCAAUGGACGAAAGUCUGACGGAGCAACGCCGCGUGAGUGAUGACGGCCUUCGGGUUGUAAAGCUCUGUUAAUCGGGACGAAAGGCCUUCUUGCGAAUAGUGAGAAGGAUUGACGGUACCGGAAUAGAAAGCCACGGCUAACUACGUG